CCCUUAGAUGUUCUGGGCCGCACGCGCGCUACACUGGUGUAUUCAACGAGUCUAUAGCCUUGGCCGACAGGCCCGGGUAAUCUUUGAAAUUUCAUCGUGAUGGGGAUAGAUCAUUGCAAUUGUUGGUCUUCAACGAGGAAUUCCUAGUAAGCGCGAGUCAUCAGCUCGCGUUGACUACGUCCCUGCCCUUUGUACACACCGCCCGUCGCUCCUACCGAUUGAAUGGUCCGGUGAAGUGUUCGGAUCGCGGCGACGUGGGCGCUUCGUCGUCGACGACGUCGCGAGAAGUCCACUGAACCUUAUCAUUUAGAGGAAGGAGAAGUCGUAACA
RNAcentral lists this ribosomal RNA (330 nucleotides) under uncultured eukaryote. RNAcentral's name for it is "partial 18S ribosomal RNA". It matches the Rfam family "Eukaryotic small subunit ribosomal RNA", at positions 1470 to 1796 of the family's 1831-position model. The record is from RNAcentral.